UACGGGAGGCAGCAGUGGGGAAUAUUGCACAAUGGGCGAAAGCCUGAUGCAGCUAUGCCGCGUGUAUGAAGAAGGCCUUAGGGUUGUAAAGUACUUUCAUCGGGGAGGAAAAACAAAACUAAUAAUUUUAUUUCUUGACGUUACCCGAAAAAGAAGCACCGGCUAACUCCGUGCCAGCAGCCGCGGUAAUACGGAGGGUGCUAGCGUUAAUCAGAAUUACUGGGCGUAAAGAGCACGUAGGUGGUUUUUUAAGUCAGAUGUGAAAUCCCUGGGCUUAACCUAGGAACUGCAUUUUGAAACUGAAAUACUAGAGUAUCGUAGAGGGAGGUAGAAUUCUAGGUGUAGCGGUGAAAUGCGUAGAUAUCUGGAGGAAUACCUGUGGCGAAAGCGGCCUCUAAACGAAUACUGACACUGAGGUGCGAAAGCGUGGGGAGCAAACAGGGAUUAGAUACC
RNAcentral lists this ribosomal RNA (453 nucleotides) under uncultured bacterium. Its description in RNAcentral is "bacterial SSU rRNA". It matches the Rfam family "Bacterial small subunit ribosomal RNA", at positions 340 to 786 of the family's 1533-position model. The record is from RNAcentral.